Chinchilla lanigera (long-tailed chinchilla) is the source of this 602-nucleotide long non-coding RNA. RefSeq lists it as uncharacterized. The record is from RefSeq and is a predicted model, not a curated record. The transcript is spliced from 4 exons. NCBI's taxonomy places the organism in Eukaryota, Metazoa, Chordata, Mammalia, Rodentia, Chinchillidae.
GGUUAUGUCCUCGCAGAUCCUGCUGCAUGACAGAGAAUUAUUCUGAGCAUUUCAUCACUGGGGUGUGUGCUCCUGUCCUCAGGAAACACAGAAAGUGUCGCUCUCGUAAAACCCCAGAGGACUGAGAAGGCUCGGCUCCUCCUCAGGUUUUUGUCUUAGACUUGGGAUGCCUUUCCCUGUGGACUGUUGCUGGCCCCAAACAAAGGCGUCUCCCAGGCUCAGGCAUCAAGUGUUUUAGCAUCCUACAAGGGCUGCAAAGGCAUUCAAACACUGACUUUGCUGAAAGAUGGAAUUUUUCAGUGUUCACAUUUCUGUACCACUCAAUGCAGCAGGUUAGACCAGAAUGACCGCAGAGAUGACUCUUCCUUGCGGACAAAGGGAGAUGCAGAGCCGCUCAGAGCUGAGGCUGGGGAAGAGCCUCUCCAGCUGGAAUCCAAAAGCUCAAGUUGGCCCAGCUGCAACAUUUCACUGUGGCAUUGCCUGACUUCUUUCUUUCCCUCUCUAAACCAGAAGAGGGACAUCAUAAAAAUAAAAGACUCAGCUAUUGCUUAGUGGAAUUCGUCAAUCUGUAAUAUAUUAUUAAUUUUAAAGAAGGAGUGGUA